RNAcentral lists this ribosomal RNA (439 nucleotides) under uncultured bacterium. RNAcentral's name for it is "partial 16S ribosomal RNA". It matches the Rfam family "Bacterial small subunit ribosomal RNA", at positions 339 to 795 of the family's 1533-position model. The record is from RNAcentral.
CUACGGGGUGCUGCAGUGAGGAAUAUUGCACAAUGGGGGGAACCCUGAUGCAGCAACGCCGCGUGGAGGAUGACGCAUUUCGGUGUGUAAACUCCUUUUAUAUGUCAAGAAAAUGACGGUAGCAUAUGAAUAAGCACCGGCUAACUCCGUGCCAGCAGCCGCGGUAAUACGGAGGGUGCAAGCGUUACUCGGAAUCACUGGGCGUAAAGGACGCGUAGGCAGGUUGGAAAGUCAGGUGUGAAAUCCUACAGCUUAACUGUAGAACUGCACUUGAAACUUCUAAUCUAGAGUAUGGGAGGGGGAGAUGGAAUUAGUGGUGUAGGGGUAAUAUCCGUAGAUAUCACUAGGAAUACCUAAAGCGAAGGCGAUCUCCUGGAACAUUACUGACGCUAAGGCGUGAAAGCGUGGGGAGCAAACAGGAUUAGAUACCCGUGUAGUC